This is a long non-coding RNA of Manis pentadactyla (Chinese pangolin), 685 nucleotides long. RefSeq lists it as uncharacterized. Lineage: Eukaryota; Metazoa; Chordata; Mammalia; Pholidota; Manidae. The transcript is spliced from 2 exons. The record is from RefSeq and is a predicted model, not a curated record.
CAGCACAAAACAAGACUCACCGACUGACUCUCCAGAGUGUAGCAGUGACCUUCACUCAUGGCGCACCAAGUUUCAGAAGCAUCCAGGAGAUUGCACAAGAGGCAGGCAGAUGAACCUCAUCCAAUCAGUUGAAGACCUGAAUAGAACAAGAGACUGACAUCCCCUGAGCAAGAGGAAUUCUGCCAGCAGACCACCUUCAGAGAUGGGUUACAGCAUCGGCCCUUCCCUGGGUCUCCAGCUUGCAGGCCUACCCUUCAAAUUUUGGACUUGCCAGCUCUAUAAUUGCAUGAGCCAAUUCCUUAAAAAUAAAUCUCUCUCUCUCCAAACACAUACACGUACACAUAAUUCUGUUCAUUCUGUUUUUCUGGAGAACCCUGACUAAUAUGCCCAUAAACAUUUGGAGUCCUCAGACAGCUUUAAAUUAUAACAUCUAAAAGCCAGAGUGAACAUGACUUUCACAGUUUGAAAGUGCCACUUUCAAACAUAGCUAGCCAAUCCUAAGCCUGAUUGCCCCGCCUUGCCCAUUUCUUUGCAUGCAAACCACAGUAAUGUUCUUGCCCACAGCCCUUCCCCCUGCCCUGUCUCCCUCUGUCUCCUGACUGACCCUGGUGCUUCCUGGUGUGGCCCUUCAUGCAUGCUGUGUUCUCCCAAGGGAACUGUGAGUAUAAUAAAAAUCUUUAAACUU